AGCGAACGCUGGCGGCAGGCCUAACACAUGCAAGUCGAACGAACUCUUCGGAGUUAGUGGCGGACGGGUGAGUAACACGUGGGAUCGUGCCUUUUGGUUCGGAAUAACUCAGGGAAACUUGUGCUAAUACCGAAUGUGCCCUUCGGGGGAAAGAUUUAUCGCCAUUAGAGCGGCCCGCGUCUGAUUAGCUAGUUGGUGAGGUAACGGCUCACCAAGGCGACGAUCAGUAGCUGGUCUGAGAGGAUGACCAGCCACACUGGGACUGAGACACGGCCCAGACUCCUACGGGAGGCAGCAGUGGGGAAUCUUGCGCAAUGGGCGAAAGCCUGACGCAGCCAUGCCGCGUGAAUGAUGAAGGUCUUAGGAUUGUAAAAUUCUUUCACCGGGGACGAUAAUGACGGUACCCGGAGAAGAAGCCCCGGCUAACUUCGUG
Molecule: ribosomal RNA, 433 nt
Filed under: uncultured bacterium
Lineage: Bacteria
Description: partial 16S ribosomal RNA
Rfam family: Bacterial small subunit ribosomal RNA
Source: RNAcentral